Molecule: ribosomal RNA, 429 nt
Filed under: Chloroflexota bacterium
Lineage: Bacteria; Bacillati; Chloroflexota
Description: Chloroflexi bacterium partial 16S ribosomal RNA
Rfam family: Bacterial small subunit ribosomal RNA
Source: RNAcentral
UGGGGAAUAUUGCACAAUGGGCGCAAGCCUGAUGCAGCCAUACCGCGUGUAUGAAGAAGGCCUUCGGGUUGUAAAGUACUUUCAGUCGGGAGGAAGGUGUCAAGGUUAAUAACCUUGGCAAUUGACGUUACCGACAGAAGAAGCACCGGCUAACUCCGUGCCAGCAGCCGCGGUAAUACGGAGGGUGCAAGCGUUAAUCGGAAUUACUGGGCGUAAAGCGCACGCAGGCGGUUGAUUGAGUCAGAUGUGAAAUCCCCGGGCUUAACCCGGGAAUUGCAUCUGAUACUGGUCAGCUAGAGUCUUGUAGAGGGGGGUAGAAUUCCAUGUGUAGCGGUGAAAUGCGUAGAGAUGUGGAGGAAUACCGGUGGCGAAGGCGGCCCCCUGGACAAAGACUGACGCUCAGGUGCGAAAGCGUGGGGAGCAAACAGG